Molecule: long non-coding RNA, 914 nt
Organism: Orcinus orca (killer whale)
Lineage: Eukaryota; Metazoa; Chordata; Mammalia; Artiodactyla; Delphinidae
Exons: 3
Source: RefSeq, a predicted model, not a curated record
AGUCUGUUUUAAUUCUCCUUGGUCUAGUGGGAGGCUUGUUUGUUUCACGGUCCACACCACUGGAAAUGUCAGAAGACAGAAAAAAAAAACAAACCAGAAAGAAGAGCGGGAGGCAGCAGAUUUCGUAGGCACAAUUGCAGUGCACCUGUGAAGCAGUUUUUAUUUCAACAAACCCAAAAGUAAUUAAAAAUUGGAAAGCUAUAAAAUUGGAGUUUGAAGAAGUGGGCUAUGCUUGGAGUGCUGUUGUUAGGAAGUGAACAUCCCAUGAAAGGGACAAUUAGGAAGGAAUUGAUUUCGUAUUCCUCAAGGCCAUGAGAACCCAUGGAAAUUACUGUAAUAAGAGUGGCAGAGACUAUUCCUGAUCCUAAAAGUAGCAGUUGCAAAAUAAAAACUGAUGAUUCUCUGAAAGAGAUGUUUGACCAACCGUAUUAGUCUUGGGCAAGCUGAAAUAGCUGGUGGCCGCUCCAUUCUUCCUGUAUGCUGGAAAUCCUCCCCAAAGACUGAGGAUUAAACCCUCGUGGACAUAAGCCCUGGGCCCGGCUGAUGGGAAGCCCAGUCCCAGCUGGGAGCAUGCUCAGGAUUCGCUGAUGCUGAGGAAGCAGAAAAGUGGACCAUAUGUGCAACACAGGAUCCUCUACUGGGGAAAGAUGAGAACUUCCUUGAAGAGGAAAGUAAGUUAGUUAUUGGCGGUCAAGUGAUAUUGGAAAAGACAAGCCACAACUUUGUGAGCUGGGUCUUCUUUCACUCUGGCCCAGGACCUGGGCUGGAUGAAUUCCCUACAUAUGACACUUCUGGCAGCCCACCGGCCUCAACAGUAAACAGAGUAGUGGCAGGCCAUGACCGGCAUUAUCCACGGAGGGCACUCUCCUGCAUCCAAUUCAUUUUUUGCUGCAGUUUAAGUCCUGGGAGCUGAU